Molecule: RNA transcript, 1784 nt
Organism: Helianthus annuus (common sunflower)
Lineage: Eukaryota; Viridiplantae; Streptophyta; Magnoliopsida; Asterales; Asteraceae
Gene name: auxin response factor 5
Exons: 4
Source: RefSeq, a predicted model, not a curated record
ACCUAAAAACCUAAAUCCCCCCUGUUGCUCAUUCUUUUCCUUCACUGCUUCACAGCGAAACCCUAGCCUCUCUCUUCCUUUGGCUUGAACUUCUACCAUACGCUUUCCUGAAACCUGAACUAUCAUACGCUUCUUCUUCUUCUUCUUCUACCUGCAUCUCAUUCUCUCUGAAUCGCUUGUGCUUGAACGGCUUAGCAAAGGAUUCCAAAAUCAAGGUUAUUCACUUCCAGGUAUGUCGAUUCCGUAGUCGAUAUUGAUCAGAAUCUAGGUAAGUUUACUGUUAUUCGGUACCUUUAAUUCUGUUUUCCCCUUAUUUUCGUGUCCAUUCUUAUUUUUUUUCUUUUUUGUGUUUUGAAUGUCAUAGAUUCAUCUAGAUAAGAUCCAGGUAUGUUUUGCUUUUAUUGAUUUUAUAUUUGAUAUUCAAUUAUUACUGUAACUUUACUUCGAUUUUGUUCUUACAGUUGAUAUCAUAUUUAAUAAUCCUUUGUAGUUUUUUUCUUUUGCAUAUUGUUCCAUGUUAAAGGGCUACACCCAAUCUUUCUUUCGGGAUUUUGUCAAAAAUAGGUAAUAAAUUUUGAUUUCCGUGAUAUAUAAUCCGCUAAUCUUUAUUUGAGCUAACGUUCAACGUCUUUUUUUCUUAAGAGGAUCCACCAGAUCCCUCUCACAUAGCCUAUGUAAAAAACGGUUACCGCAGGAUUCAGCUAAAAAACGUUUUACCCCGGCUGCUGCGUUUCAAUCGCCGCUCAAAGUUCUCCCCAUUUUUCGUUAUCUGCGUGUUGGUUGGUUUCAGGCGGACAUGAAGCGGCAACUAUAUUCUACAAAAUACACACCGAAAUAGAGCAGGGGGUGGCCGGAUGCGACGGUGGCUGUGACUGUGGCUAUGGCGAUAUGUGGUUAGGUGAUGUGGUGGUGGUUAGGCAGUGUGAGACGAUUAGGUGGCCCACGGUGUGUAGCUGUGAAGUUGAAGAUGGAGUGCUCAGGGCUGUGGUUGAAAAUGGCUAGACCUAGAAAAUUCGUCAGUGUUCAUGUGUAACAUUUCAGUUUUUCUUUCCUCUGGUUGAUAAUAUUUGUUCAAUAAGUGUUAGUGUUUUCAUGAUUAUAGUAGAUGUUAGGGAUUUGUUUUGAAAACUUUUGCUUUGUGAAUGUGUUUCAUCUUUUAUGCAAUUAGCUUUAAUUUUAUAGGAAUUUAUAUCGUUUUUCUUUUAAUCACCAGGUGUUAUAUUCGAGAUUAAAUGAGGCAAAGGAAAAAUAUUCUGAUGGAUGGCUUUGUUUUUGGACUAGCCCAUCAGAAUUUGUAAUUCCAUUAGCCAAGUACUAUAAAGCAGUCUACAGUAACCAGAUAUCUCUUGGCAUGUGGUUCCAAAUGAUGUUCGAGACUAAAGAAUCGGGAACAAGAAUGUAAAGAGGUAUAUGGGUACGAUUAUUAGUGAUCUGAAUGGUGUUCGAUGGAAGAACUCGCAAUGGCGUAACCUACAGCUAUACAGUUAAAUGCUGAGACCUUUGCAAAGUUUAAUGAUGGAAAGCAUGCUCCAAAAGACAUAAGGGAGUUAGUGUAGGGAAUUUUAGAUACUCAUUUUUUGUGUUAACCAAAUCAAGUUACCAAGGUAAUAUUAGAUUGACAUAUGUUCUUAAUAAUAGUAGUGUGGAAAGAAAAUCCAUCACGUAGGGUUAUUCUUAAUACUAUUUUACAAUUUUUUUUCUUUUGCAUGUAUUGGUAAAAAUUGAAUUGUACGUUGCAUUUUCUUGCAAAUUUAACUAAUUGACCCAUUAGAGAUAUGAACAGA